ACGAACGCUGGCGGCGUGCCUAAUACAUGCAAGUCGAACGCACUCUCGUUUAGAUUGAAGGAGCUUGCUCCUGAUUGAUAAACAUUUGAGUGAGUGGCGGACGGGUGAGUAACACGUGGGUAACCUGCCCUAAAGUGGGGGAUAACAUUUGGAAACAGAUGCUAAUACUGCAUAAAACCUAACACCGCAUGGUGUAGGGUUGAAAGAUGGUUUCGGCUAUCACUUUAGGAUGGACCCGCGGUGCAUUAGUUAGUUGGUGAGGUAAAGGCUCACCAAGACCGUGAUGCAUAGCCGACCUGAGAGGGUAAUCGGCCACACUGGGACUGAGACACGGCCCAGACUCCUACGGGAGGCAGCAGUAGGGAAUCUUCCACAAUGGACGAAAGUCUGAUGGAGCAACGCCGCGUGAGUGAAGAAGGUCUUCGGAUCGUAAAACUCUGUUGUUGGAGAAGAAUGUAUCUGAUAGUAACUGAUCAGGUAGUGACGGUAUCCAACCAGAAAGCCACGGCUAACUACGUG
This 519-nucleotide ribosomal RNA is filed under the name uncultured bacterium. RNAcentral's name for it is "partial 16S ribosomal RNA". It matches the Rfam family "Bacterial small subunit ribosomal RNA", at positions 29 to 507 of the family's 1533-position model. The record is from RNAcentral.